CUACGGGUCGCUGCAGUGGGGAAUCUUGCGCAAUGCGCGAAAGCGUGACGCAGCAACGCCGCGUGGGGGAAGAAGGCUUUCGGGUUGUAAACCCCUUUCAGUUGGGACGAAGCUUCGCCGGUGAACAGCCGGCCGGAGUGACGGUACCUUCACAAGAAGCACCGGCUAACUACGUGCCAGCAGCCGCGGUAAUACGUAGGGUGCAAGCGUUGUCCGGAAUUAUUGGGCGUAAAGAGCGUGUAGGCGGCUCGAUAAGUCCGCUGUGAAAGUCCAGGGCUCAACCCUGGAAUGCCGGUGGAUACUGUCGAGCUAGAGUCCGGAAGGGGCGAGUGGAAUUCCUGGUGUAGCGGUGAAAUGCGCAGAUAUCAGGAGGAACACCAAUGGCGAAGGCAGCUCGCUGGGACGUGACUGACGCUGAGACGCGAAAGCGUGGGGAGCAAACAGGAUUAGAUACCCUAGUAGUC
Molecule: ribosomal RNA, 464 nt
Filed under: uncultured bacterium
Lineage: Bacteria
Description: partial 16S ribosomal RNA
Rfam family: Bacterial small subunit ribosomal RNA
Source: RNAcentral